GAUGAACGCUGGCGGCGUGCCUAAUACAUGCAAGUCGAGCGAACGGACGAGAAGCUUGCUUCUCUGAUGUUAGCGGCGGACGGGUGAGUAACACGUGGAUAACCUACCUAUAAGACUGGGAUAACUUCGGGAAACCGGAGCUAAUACCGGAUAAUAUUUUGAACCGCAUGGUUCAAAAGUGAAAGACGGUCUUGCUGUCACUUAUAGAUGGAUCCGCGCUGCAUUGGCUAGUUGGUAAGGUAACGGCUUACCAAGGCAACGAUGCAUAGCCGACCUGAGAGGGUGAUCGGCCACACUGGAACUGAGACACGGUCCAGACCCCUACGGGAGGCAGCAGUAGGGAAUCUUCCGCAAUGGGCGAAAGCCUGACGGAGCAACGCCGCGUGAGUGAUGAAGGUCUUCGGAUCGUAAAACUCUGUUAUUAGGGAAGAACAUAUGUGUAAGUAACUGUGCACAUCUUGACGGUACCUAAUCAGAAAGCCACGGCUAACUACGUG
RNAcentral lists this ribosomal RNA (497 nucleotides) under uncultured bacterium. RNAcentral describes it as "partial 16S ribosomal RNA". It matches the Rfam family "Bacterial small subunit ribosomal RNA", at positions 28 to 507 of the family's 1533-position model. The record is from RNAcentral.